AUGGCCACAUCACUGGUUCCCAUAAAAUCACCAAAGUUAAGCAGCAUUAAGCCUGGUCAGUACCUAGAUGGGUGACCACUUGGUAAUACCAGAUGGUGUA
This is a non-coding RNA of Acanthosepion pharaonis, 100 nucleotides long. Lineage: Eukaryota; Metazoa; Mollusca; Cephalopoda; Sepiida; Sepiidae. The record is from the annotation of a GenBank genome assembly.